Molecule: ribosomal RNA, 497 nt
Filed under: uncultured bacterium
Lineage: Bacteria
Description: partial 16S ribosomal RNA
Rfam family: Bacterial small subunit ribosomal RNA
Source: RNAcentral
GAUGAACGCUGGCGGCGUGCCUAAUACAUGCAAGUCGAGCGAACGGACGAGAAGCUUGCUUCUCUGAUGUUAGCGGCGGACGGGUGAGUAACACGUGGAUAACCUACCUAUAAGACUGGGAUAACUUCGGGAAACCGGAGCUAAUACCGGAUAAUAUUUUGAACCGCAUGGUUCAAAAGUGAAAGACGGUCUUGCUGUCACUUAUAGAUGGAUCCGCGCUGCAUUAGCUAGUUGGUAAGGUAACGGCUUACCAAGGCAACGAUGCAUAGCCGACCUGAGAGGGUGAUAGGCCACACUGGAACUGGGACACGGUCCAGACUCCUACGGGAGGCAGCAGUAGGGAAUCUUCCGCAAUGGGCGAAAGCCUGACGGAGCAACGCCGCGUGAGUGAUGAAGGUCUUCGGAUCGUAAAACUCUGUUAUUAGGGAAGAACAUAUGUGUAAGUAACUGUGCACAUCUUGACGGUACCUAAUCAGAAAGCCGCGGCUAACUACGUG